RNAcentral lists this microRNA precursor (104 nucleotides) under Marmota monax (woodchuck). The record is from RNAcentral. Lineage: Eukaryota; Metazoa; Chordata; Mammalia; Rodentia; Sciuridae.
AUUGACAAUUGCUGGAUUUUAUGGUAGUUUAAUGUCUAAUUUUAUAAGAAACUGCCAAACUGUUUUCUGGAGUGGCUGUACCACUUUUUAUUCCCACCAGCAGU